Molecule: ribosomal RNA, 253 nt
Filed under: uncultured bacterium
Lineage: Bacteria
Description: partial 16S ribosomal RNA
Rfam family: Bacterial small subunit ribosomal RNA
Source: RNAcentral
CACGUAGGGCGCAAGCGUUGUCCGGAAUUAUUGGGCGUAAAGAGCUCGUAGGUGGUUUGUUACGUCCGCUGUGAAAUCCUAGGGCUUAACCCUGGGCUUGCAGUGGAUACGGGCAGACUAGAGGUAGGUAGGGGAGAAUGGAAUUCCCGGUGUAGCAGUGAAAUGCGUAGAGAUCGUAAGGAAGGCCAGUGGCGAAGGCGAGUUCCUGGACAGUUACUGACGCUGAGGCACGAAGGCCAGGGGAGCAAACGGG